GGGUUUGAUCAUGGCUCAGGACGAACGCUGGCGGCGUGCCUAAUACAUGCAAGUCGAGCGGACCGGGCGGAAGCUUGCUUCCGCUUGGUUAGCGGCGGCCGGGUGAGUAACACGUGGGUAACCUGCCCGUAAGACCGGGAAAGCUCCGGGAAACCGGAGCUAAUACCGGAUAACACCGAAGGCCGCAUGGUCUUUGGUUGAAAGGCGGCUUCGGCUGCCACUUGCGGAUGGGCCCGCGGCGCAUUAGCUAGUUGGUGAGGUAACGGCUCAACAAGGCGACGAUGCGUAGCCGGCCUGAGAGGGGGACCGGCCACACUGGGACUGAGACACGGCCCAGACUCCUACGGGAGGCAGCAGUAGGGAAUCUUCCGCAAUGGACGAAGGUCUGACGGAGCGACGCCGCGUGGGCGAAGAAGGUCUUCGGAUCGUAAAGCUCUGUUGUUGGGGAAGAAGAAGUGCCGUUCGAACAGGGCGGCACGGUGACGGUACCUAACGAGAAAGGCCCGGCUAGCUACGUGCCAGCAGCCGCGGUAAUACGUAGGGGGCGAGCGUUGUCCGGAAUUAUUGGGCGCUAAAGCGCGCGCAGGCGGUCCCUUAAGUCUGAUGUGAAAGCCCACGGCUUAACCGUGGAGGGUCAUUGGAAACUGGGGGACUUGAGUGCAGGAGAGGAGGGCGGAAUUCCACGUGUAGCGGUGAAAUGCGUAGAGAUGUGGAGGAACACCAGUGGCGAAGGCGGCUCUCUGGUCUGUAACUGACGCUGAGGCGCGCAAGCGUGGGGAGCAAACAGGAUUAGAUACCCUGGUAGUCCACGCCGUAGACGAUGAGUGCUAAGUGUUAGAGGGGUUAUCCCUUUAGUGCUGUAGCUAACGCGUUAAGCACUCCGCCUGGGGAGUACGGCCGCAAGCUGAAACUAAAAGGAAUCGACGGGGGCGCGCACAAGCGGUGGAGCAUGUGGUUUAAUUCGAAGCAACGCGAAGAACCUUACCACGUCGGGACAUCCCCUGACAACCCUGGAGACAGGGCGUUCCUCCCUUCGGGAGGACAGGGUGGCAGGUGGUGGAUGGUUGGCGUCAGCUCGUGUCGUGGGAUGUUGGGUUAAGUCGCGCAACGAGCGCAACCCUCGCCCCUAGUUGCCAGCAUUCAGUUGGGCACCCUAGGGGGACUGCCGGUGACAAACCGGAGGAAGGUGGGGAUGACGUCAAAUCAUCAUGCCCCUUAUGACCUGGGCUACACACGUGCUACAAUGGGCGGUACAAAGGGCUGCGAACCCGCGAGGGGGGGCGAAUCCCAAAAAGCCGCUCUCAGUUCGGAUUGCAGGCUGCAACUCGCCUGCAUGAAGCCGGAAUCGCUAGUGAUCGCGGAUCGGCAUGCCGCGGUGAAUACGUUCCCGGGCCUUGUACACACCGCCCGUCACACCACGAGAGCUUGCAACACCCGAAGUCGGUGAGGUAACGCGCAAGGGAGCCAGGCGCCGAGGGUGGGGCAAGUGAUUGGGGUGAAGUCGUAACAA
This 1510-nucleotide ribosomal RNA is filed under the name Geobacillus stearothermophilus. RNAcentral describes it as "bacterial SSU rRNA". It matches the Rfam family "Bacterial small subunit ribosomal RNA". The record is from RNAcentral. Lineage: Bacteria; Bacillati; Bacillota; Bacilli; Caryophanales; Anoxybacillaceae.